Molecule: ribosomal RNA, 497 nt
Filed under: uncultured bacterium
Lineage: Bacteria
Description: partial 16S ribosomal RNA
Rfam family: Bacterial small subunit ribosomal RNA
Source: RNAcentral
GAUGAACGCUGGCGGCGUGCCUAAUACAUGCAAGUCGAGCGAACGGACGAGAAGCUUUCUUCUCUGAUGUUAGCGGCGGACGGGUGAGUAACACGUGGAUAACCUACCUAUAAGACUGGGAUAACUUCGGGAAACCGGAGCUAAUACCGGAUAAUAUUUUGAACCGCAUAGUUCAAAAGUAUAAGACGGUCUUGCUGUCACUUAUAGAUGGAUCCGCGCUGCAUUAGCUAGUUGGUAAGGUAACGGCUUACCAAGGCAACGAUGCAUAGCCGACCUGAGAGGGUGAUCGGCCACACUGGAACUGAGACACGGUCCAGACUCCUACGGGAGGCAGCAGUAGGGAAUCUUCCGCAAUGGGCGAAAGCCUGACGGAGCAACGCCGCGUGAGUGAUGAAGGUCUUCGGAUCGUAAAACUCUGUUAUUAGGGAAGAACAUAUGUGUAAGUAACUGUGCACAUCUUGACGGUACCUAAUCAGAAAGCCACGGCUAACUACGUG